GGACUACUGGGGUAUCUAAUCCCGUUUGCUCCCCUGGCUUUCGCGCAUCAGCGUCAGUAUCGGCCCAGUAACCCGCCUUCGCCUCAGGUGUUCCUCCUGAUAUCUACGCAUUUCACCGCUACACCAGGAAUUCCAGUUACCUCUUCCGUACUCUAGUUCGCCAGUAUCGGCCGACCCUCCGGGGUUGAGCCCCGGGCUUUCACAGCCGACUUAACAAACCGCCUACGCGCCCUUUACGCCCAGUAAUUCCGAACAACGCUUGCCACCUACGUAUUACCGCGGCUGCUGGCAC
This 292-nucleotide ribosomal RNA is filed under the name uncultured Acidobacteriota bacterium. RNAcentral describes it as "uncultured Acidobacteria bacterium partial 16S ribosomal RNA". The record is from RNAcentral. Lineage: Bacteria; Pseudomonadati; Acidobacteriota.